AGAACGAACGCUGGCGGCAGGCUUAACACAUGCAAGUCGAGCGGAUGUAGCAAUACAUCAGCGGCAGACGGGAUAGUAACACGUGGGAACGCGCCCUUUGGUUCGGAAUAACUCAGGGAAACUUGAGCUAAUACCGGAUAAGCCCUUACGGGGAAAGAUUUAUCGCCAAAGGAACGGCCCGCGUCCGAUUAGCUAGUUGGUGAGGUAAUGGCUCACCAAGGCAUCGACGGGUAGCUGGU
RNAcentral lists this ribosomal RNA (239 nucleotides) under uncultured bacterium. RNAcentral's name for it is "partial small subunit ribosomal RNA". It matches the Rfam family "Bacterial small subunit ribosomal RNA", at positions 26 to 291 of the family's 1533-position model. The record is from RNAcentral.